This 497-nucleotide ribosomal RNA is filed under the name uncultured bacterium. RNAcentral describes it as "partial 16S ribosomal RNA". It matches the Rfam family "Bacterial small subunit ribosomal RNA", at positions 28 to 507 of the family's 1533-position model. The record is from RNAcentral.
GAUGAACGCUGGCGGCGUGCCUAAUACAUGCAAGUCGAGCGAACAGACGAGGCGCUUGCUCCUCUGACGUUAGCGGCGGACGGGUGAGUAACACGUGGAUAACCUACCUAUAAGACUGGGAUAACUUCGGGAAACCGGAGCUAAUACCGGAUAACAUGUUGAACCGCAUGGUUCAACAGUGAAAGACGGUCUUGCUGUCACUUAUAGAUGGAUCCGCGCCGCAUUAGCUAGUUGGUAAGGUAACGGCUUACCAAGGCAACGAUGCGUAGCCGACCUGAGAGGGUGAUCGGCCACACUGGAACUGAGACACGGUCCAGACUCCUACGGGAGGCAGCAGUAGGGAAUCUUCCGCAAUGGGCGAAAGCCUGACGGAGCAACGCCGCGUGAGUGAAGAAGGUCUUCGGAUCGUAAAACUCUGUUAUUAGGGAAGAACAAAUGUGUAAGUAACUAUGCACGUCUUGACGGUACCUAAUCAGAAAGCCACGGCUAACUACGUG